AGACAUCACUAACUUUGACUCCUCUGGGUGGGUCAGGAACAUCAGCCACAUCCAGUUCAACUGUCUUCUGAUCAAUUCCAAAUCUGUUUUUAGCACAGACCACAUAGAAACCAGCAUCUUUUCUCUCUACCCCAUUGGGGAAAACAAGUGAUGUGAAGGAUCUUGUGACAAUAACUUGGUAGUGGCCAUUAUUGUCAAUGAGAUCUUGUCCUUUCUGCCAGGUGAUCACAGGAUCUGGUUUGCCACUGAAAGGAAUCUUGAUGCUGACCACUUCACCUCGGAGAGCAUGAACUGCUCCCAUGCCUUCAAGAGUUUUAGGUUUUCACAUUUCACACGGAACUCAUAUUCAAGACCUUCAAUAAGGUUUUUCACCGAAAAGACAGUUUCUCGAAUUUCUUCUGUUGUCACAGAAAUCCAUUUAUUCUGCUUCUUCUCGCGCUUCUCAAGUGGGUAACCAGGAUGGAACUGUGGUGUUGCUUGCAGGAGAAGCUUACUACUGGUCUCUACUUCUCCAACCUCAUUGGUGGCUAUGCAGGUAUAAACACCUUCAUCUUCCUGUUCCUCUGUCAUUACUGUAAGAGUGUGUGUGCGUCCAUCUGAAGACAUUUUGUAUUUCCGGCUUUGUAUGAGUUCUUUACCAAAUCUGUACCAUUUAAUGUCAGGAAGAGGCCUUCCAACAAUCUGGCAUGAGAGUUGAGCAGCUUCACCCAAUUUGGUGGUAACAUCCUUCAUUUCUUUGCGUAUUCCUGGGGCCUCUCCAGCUGAAUGAUAUGAAAGAUAAUAUUAAGUGAUUGUUACUGCUCAAUCUGUAAUCCUUUGUCCUUGUACAUCAGGAAUGAAUUUACCUUAUUUACUAACACAUACCAUGAUUUACAUAUUAGCCUAAUUCUUAAAAACUCUUUGAAGUGAUUUUCUUAGGAUCAUAUGGUAAAUAGGGAUUCAGUGAGCACAUUGUCACAUUUUCUGUAGAAUGACUUUUUCCCUUUAUGAUUGGAAGGGAGUUAAUAAUGUAUAGGCUUUUAAGGGACUAUAAAUUCUCUCUAUAAUUCUGUACUAUUCUUGCCCUUACUUAGGUUCAUUGAAGUGGCAUACAAUUGUUGACCUUUCAAAUCUUGUUGGGAAAUAUUUUAAAAAAGAAACCAUUGCAUUUGAGGGAAUUGCUCAAGGAAAGUGCUCAGUUCACUGCAUCUAACAUCUCCUGCUGAAGUUAUGUGCUUGGAAUGGUUUCCUAUAGAACUUAUCAUAUUUCCUGUGUGUGCACUUGCUUUUCUUUCUAAACACUUGCUCUCCAAUAAAGCUUUCCAGGGUUCUACUUAGUAUAGAGGGGGAAUUAGCCUUAAUUUGUUUAGUUUGUAAAUCGUAAGUAGAGAACCAAAGGCUACUUACAUGUGAGUUUAGUCUUUAUAGACAUAGCAGUCCUUCGAGGUCUGCUCAGCCCAGUCUCAUUCUCAGCAAAAACCCUGAAUUCAUAUUCAGUAGCUUCCAGCAAACCCCCUAUUGUGAAUUGCUUGUCCUUAAUACGUUCCUUACUGCUCUUCUUCCAGGCACUGUCUCCAGACUGUCUAUAUUCAACCCAAUAUCCAAGAAUUUCUUUGCCACCAUCACAUUCAGGUUUCUCCCACUGUAGAGUGACACUAUCUUUGGAUAUUGAAAGAAUCUCAAGUUCUCCUGGUUGGCUUGGUUUAUCUGAAAUAUUGUAAAAUAAUGAAAAGGGAAUCAGCUUUACUGGUGAAAUAAAAGGACCAAACAUGGCUUGCUUCUUUAAUUUAACCCCUUCUUCUGAAUUCCUUACCAAAUGGAUCUUUGCAAACAACUGGUUCAGAAGCAGGGCUGGUCUCACUUAGGCCAACAUCAUUCUGUGCAAUGAUUCGGAACUGAUACUCAGCAUCGGGAACAAGCCCUGUGACAGUGUACAUUGUGGUAGUGAUCUGAGUCUUGUUGUGUCUGACCCACUUGUCAGUGGAUGUCUCUUUGCGUUCAAUGUAGUAGCCUGUGACUCGAGAACCACCAUCAUCUUUGGGCCGGGACCAGGACAAGCUAACAGAACUCUUGGUUACAUCGAGUACUUCCGGAGGAUUGCUUGGAGGUUCUGGAGGAUCUAUAAAUAUAAGUAGAAAGCACACAUGUAUUAGAGUACAGUCCCAAGUCUUAUAAGCCGAUGAUUUUCAUUUAAAAACAGAAAAGUGCUGAAAUAAUGUUUAUAAUUUUGUGGUUGAAAGGACACUUACUCAGUGGUGUUUUUGGUAUGACUGGUUCCUCCGAUUUUAAGGGCUUGCUUAUGCCAAACUGGUUUUCUGCUGAAACACGGAAAUGGUAUUCUACAUUCUCUUUAAGGCCUUUUACCACCAGAGAUGUACCUCGGACUCUAGAAUCAAUGGUAUACCAGGCGGCUUUAGGCACUUCUCGUCUCUCGAGGAUGUAACCUAAGAUGUCAGCACCACCAUCAUCAGCAGGAGGUCUCCAGCUGACCCUCACAGAGCGGGCUUGGAUGUCAUCAUAUUCCAGUGGCCCUUCUGGACUGUUGGGACUUCCUAUCACCCUGACCUUGAUGUAGACAGCCUUCUUGCCACAUUUAUUUUCCAGAACCAGGUCCAGGCUCGCCAGGUCCACCAGCAUUACAAGCUAGGAUGCGGAACCUGUAUUCCGCACCCUGAGAAUCAGAGGUGGAGAGAGUGGUGGAAGGGUCCAUGGACUUACGGAUGCUGCUGCGACACUCUAUGACCUCAGACUGCAAUUUAGAACCAGCAAAGAACCAGGAAGCAGCAGGAGGUGGACGGCCAGCAAUAGGUAUCACCAGCUCUACUGGUCUGCCAGCUGGGACAUGGAUGGUCUUCUGAGGCAUUGUAGAAAGAUCGAUUGUUGGCAACACUAUGGGAAACAAAUCAGAUGAUAGCCAAUGACUCUGCUUCCUCCAUCACUGACCGGCUCAUUCCAUUGUACUUCCAUGCUGUCCCUGGAGGACAGUGUGACAAGUGGAGUGCCAGGAGGACCAGGAACUUUGAAUGGAUAUUGGGCUACAAUAGGCU
Non-coding RNA from Chlorocebus sabaeus (green monkey), 3026 nucleotides. The record is from RefSeq and is a predicted model, not a curated record. NCBI's taxonomy places the organism in Eukaryota, Metazoa, Chordata, Mammalia, Primates, Cercopithecidae.